This 253-nucleotide ribosomal RNA is filed under the name uncultured bacterium. Its description in RNAcentral is "partial 16S ribosomal RNA". It matches the Rfam family "Bacterial small subunit ribosomal RNA", at positions 524 to 776 of the family's 1533-position model. The record is from RNAcentral.
UACGAAGGGGGCUAGCGUUGUUCGGAAUUACUGGGCGUAAAGCGCGUGUAGGCGGCAGGCCAAGUCGGUGGUGAAAGCGCCCGGCUCAACUGGGCGAGGUCCAUGGAAACUGGUCAGCUGGAGGACGGUAGAGGCGAGUGGAAUUCCCGGUGUAGCGGUGAAAUGCGCAGAUAUCGGGAGGAACACCAAUGGCGUAGGCAGCUCGCUGGGACGUGACUGACGCUGAGACGCGAAAGCGUGGGGAGCAAACAGG